RNAcentral lists this ribosomal RNA (429 nucleotides) under uncultured bacterium. RNAcentral describes it as "bacterial SSU rRNA". It matches the Rfam family "Bacterial small subunit ribosomal RNA", at positions 29 to 506 of the family's 1533-position model. The record is from RNAcentral.
GCGAACGCUGGCGGCAGGCUUAACACAUGCAAGUCGAGCGCCCCGCAAGGGGAGCGGCAGACGGGUGAGUAACACGUGGGGAUCUGCCCAAUGGUACGGAAUAACUCAGGGAAACUUGUGCUAAUACCGUAUGUGCCCUUCGGGGGAAAGAUUUAUCGCCAUUGGAUGAACCCGCGUCAGAUUAGCUAGUUGGUGGGGUAAGAGCCCACCAAGGCGACGAUCUGUAGCUGGUCUGAGAGGAUGAUCAGCCACACUGGGACUGAGACACGGCCCAGACUCCUACGGGAGGCAGCAGUGGGGAAUAUUGGACAAUGGGCGCAAGCCUGAUCCAGCCAUGCCGCGUGAGUGAUGAAGGCCUUAGGGUUGUAAAGCUCUUUCGCCGACGAAGAUAAUGACGGUAGUCGGAGAAGAAGCCCCGGCUAACUUCGU